AUUGAACGCUGGCGGCAUGCUUUACACAUGCAAGCCGAACGGCAGCGCGGGCUUCGGCCUGGCGGCGAGUGGCGAACGGGUGAGUAAUGCAUCGGAACGUGCCCAGUAGUUGGGGAUAGCCCGGCGAAAGCCGGAUUAAUACCGCAUACGACCUGAGGGUGAAAGCGGGGGACCGAAAGGCCUCGCGCUAUUGGAGCGGCCGAUGUCGGAUUAGCUAGUUGGUGGGGUAAAGGCUUACCAAGGCGACGAUCCGUAGCUGGUCUGAGAGGACGACCAGCCACACUGGGACUGAGACACGGCCCAGACUCCUACGGGAGGCAGCAGUGGGGAAUUUUGGACAAUGGGGGCAACCCUGAUCCAGCCAUGCCGCGUGCGGGAAGAAGGCCUUCGGGUUGUAAACCGCUUUUGUUCGGGAAGAAAUCCUCUGGGCUAAUACCCCGGGGGGAUGACGGUACCGGAAGAAUAAGCACCGGCUAACUACGUG
RNAcentral lists this ribosomal RNA (484 nucleotides) under uncultured bacterium. RNAcentral describes it as "partial 16S ribosomal RNA". It matches the Rfam family "Bacterial small subunit ribosomal RNA", at positions 28 to 507 of the family's 1533-position model. The record is from RNAcentral.